This 954-nucleotide ribosomal RNA is filed under the name uncultured bacterium. RNAcentral describes it as "bacterial SSU rRNA". It matches the Rfam family "Bacterial small subunit ribosomal RNA", at positions 521 to 1486 of the family's 1533-position model. The record is from RNAcentral.
UAAUACGAAGGGACCUAGCGUAGUUCGGAAUUACUGGGCUUAAAGAGUUCGUAGGUGGUUGAAAAAGUUGGUGGUGAAAUCCCAGAGCUUAACUCUGGAACUGCCAUCAAAACUUUUCAGCUAGAGUAUGAUAGAGGAAAGCAGAAUUUCUAGUGUAGAGGUGAAAUUCGUAGAUAUUAGAAAGAAUACCAAUUGCGAAGGCAGCUUUCUGGAUCAUUACUGACACUGAGGAACGAAAGCAUGGGUAGCGAAGAGGAUUAGAUACCCUCGUAGUCCAUGCCGUAAACGAUGUGUGUUAGACGUUGGAAAUUUAUUUUCAGUGUCGCAGCGAAAGCGAUAAACACACCGCCUGGGGAGUACGACCGCAAGGUUAAAACUCAAAUGAAUUGACGGGGACCCGCACAAGUAGUGGAGCAUGUGGUUUAAUUCGAAGAUACGCGCAGAACCUUACCAACACUUGACAUGUUCGUCGCGACUCUAAGAGAUUAGAGUUUUCGGUUCGGCCGGACGAAACACAGGUGCUGCAUGGCUGUCGUCAGCUCGUGUCGUGAGAUGUUGGGUUAAGUCCCGCAACGAGCGCAACCCUCACUUUUAGUUGCCAUCAUUUAGUUGGGCACUCUGAAAGAACUGCCAGUGAUAAGCUGGAGGAAGGUGGGGAUGACGUCAAGUCCUCAUGGCCCUUACGUGUUGGGCUACACACGUGCUACAAUGGCAUCUACAACAGGAAGCAAAACGGCAACGUUAAGCAAAUCCCGAAAAGAUGCCUCAGUUCGGAUUGCACUCUGCAACUCGAGUGCAUGAAGCUGGAAUUACUAGUAAUCGUGGAUCAGCGUGCCACGGUGAAUGCGUUCCCGGGUCUUGUACACACCGCCCGUCACACCAUGGGAGUUGGUUCUACCUUAAGGCAAGGUUUUAAACCCUUGACCACGGUAUAGUCAGCGACUGGGGUGAAGU